RNAcentral lists this ribosomal RNA (465 nucleotides) under Vreelandella stevensii. RNAcentral describes it as "partial 16S ribosomal RNA". It matches the Rfam family "Bacterial small subunit ribosomal RNA", at positions 338 to 795 of the family's 1533-position model. Lineage: Bacteria; Pseudomonadati; Pseudomonadota; Gammaproteobacteria; Oceanospirillales; Halomonadaceae. The record is from RNAcentral.
CCUACGGGUGGCUGCAGUGGGGAAUAGGGGACAAUGGGGGCAACCCUGAUCCAGCCAUGCCGCGUGUGUGAAGAAGGCCCUCGGGUUGUAAAGCACUUUCAGUGAGGAAGAACGCCUGGUGGUUAAUACCCAUCAGGAAAGACAUCACUCACAGAAGAAGCACCGGCUAACUCCGUGCCAGCAGCCGCGGUAAUACGGAGGGUGCGAGCGUUAAUCGGAAUUACUGGGCGUAAAGCGCGCGUAGGUGGCUUGAUAAGACGGUUGUGAAAGCCCCGGGCUCAACCUGGGAACGGCAUCCGGAACUGUCAAGCUAGAGUGCAGGAGAGGAAGGUAGAAUUCCCGGUGUAGCGGUGAAAUGCGUAGAGAUCGGGAGGAAUACCAGUGGCGAAGGCGGCCUUCUGGACUGACACUGACACUGAGGUGCGAAAGCGUGGGUAGCAAACAGGAUUAGAUACCCUAGUAGUC